This 393-nucleotide long non-coding RNA is filed under the name Elaeis guineensis (African oil palm). RNAcentral's name for it is "long non-coding RNA (EGUI_LNC004241)". The record is from RNAcentral. Lineage: Eukaryota; Viridiplantae; Streptophyta; Magnoliopsida; Arecales; Arecaceae.
GGAGAUCAAAGAACCACCAAUCCUUGACUUUUGGAUGAAGUCGGAGGAUAAAAAAAGCACGAAAAAGGGAAGGAUGAGGUUCGAUCGGCAGUAACUGACAUAACAGAGCAAAACUGAUUAUUAGCCAGACCGAAUUUGGUACCAGCUAGGCAGGACAAAGACCAUAAUAGUCCAAAAUAUUUCAGACAAACUCUGAAAUCGAAAAUUGAAAAUCCGCCCAAAGAUCUUCGACAUAAAAAGCUAUCUAGCCCGAAAAAGGGGCGUUAUCCGACCGUUGGCACCAGGAGCGAAGAGCUAAAAUUGCUCUGGGAUGCGUAUUGCUCCUGGAGCCAAUCGAUGUUCAAUUUUGAAAGUGAAGAAGCCUCCACUUUCGGGUCCGAUGGAGAGUCAUUA